RNAcentral lists this long non-coding RNA (1817 nucleotides) under Theobroma cacao (cacao). Its description in RNAcentral is "long non-coding RNA (TCAC_LNC005566)". Lineage: Eukaryota; Viridiplantae; Streptophyta; Magnoliopsida; Malvales; Malvaceae. The record is from RNAcentral.
UGACUCUCCCAUCUCACUCCCAUAUGUUCAGCCUCACCAAGGAAAAGAGGAAAGAAAGAAAUAACAAACCCUAGUUAGCAAAAAUUCAAGGGAAAAUUGGUGGAUUUCAAGGAAUUAAGCAAGUAAAGGUAAAAUUUCUUGAUUUUAGCUUGUGAUCUACCUUUCCUAUGCAUUCUUUUUCAUUUUUCAUAGUUGAGAAUCAAGUUUGCAUGAAGAUACCUUUGCUGGCCGGACAUGGGGGGAGGGAUUUUGAUCUUGGAUUUAGCUAGAUUUCAUAUUAUUCUAGUGUUUUUAGUUGUUUGGUGAUGUUUGGCAUGGAAAACAAGCAAGAAAUUUCAUGCCCUUCACCCACACCCAUUGGCUGAAUUUUUCAAGAGAGAAAUUGGAAAAUGGACUUUGAUGAAUUUCAUGCUAUUUAGGUAUUUUUAGUUGUUUUAUGAUGUAAAGUGUAAAAAAAUCAAGUAUGAAAAAUCAUAGUGUUUAUGCACCCACCAUGGCCGAAUUUCAUUAGGAACCUAGUGAUGAUGAUUCUUGUGUUAUUUAGUUAGAAUUUAAUGAAUGGAGGUGAUGGAAAUCGAAAAUGGUAAUUUUAAAGUAUAGUUCUUUUAGUGAAUAAGUUGAAUAACAAUGAGAAAGUCAAGCUCAUUGAGGUGCUUUGGUGUAUUUUGGGACAUUGGAAGUGUGAUGAAUAUAAUUGGAGUCAAUUUGGAUGUUUUGGUUAAAUCAAAGGUGGAGAGUUCGAUUUAGGUCGAAAAUCGAUCCAUUCUGAUCACAAUUGAACCAACAUGUAACACCAUCUUUAAGUGACUAACCAAACAACCUCAUGCAUUCAUAUAGAGCCUGAAAUAGAUUUAUAAUGACAUGACACAAUAUAUUGAAUUAUUUGUCGUGUAUUGUGUAUAGGUGGUGAGUCUUCUAACAAGGGUAAAGACAUUGUGCCAGAGGACCAAGAAUAGGAGUAUUUCGAACUCCCGAUAUCGUGAGUAACCUUAUUAUCGUCUUAAUUAUCUAAAGUAGUUUUUAUUCGUUUUUGUGAUUUUAUAGAAAAAUGAGUUUAAAUGGUAAAUCCUUAUGUUUAAUACGUAAAAUGUGAUUAAAUGAAAUGAGUUUUAUAAAUCAUUUUGAAAUUGAAUGAUGAUUUUAGAAAUUGAGUAAUUGGAGACGGUUUGAUUGUAUUGUAAAUUUAUUGUUUGAAUUGAAUGGCUUAUGGUGAUAUUGGCAUGAAUGGCUGAAUUGGAAAUUGUGUUGAAUAUAUGAACUGUUUUGCUUUGCCUUGACAGGCUGGUAAUAUUAUAUUAGCCAUGUUAUGCUGCCGAAAUUUUAUUGAUUUGGUGGGAUAUCGAUUAGCUUACUGCAGUGGGCGGGUUUCUGUGGACCAACCUAUUAGAGGGGCACAGUAAAUCUCGUUAUAUUUUACCUCGGUACAAGAGGCGCAGAGGGUAACUCCUGAGGUAAAGCUUUAGAGUUCACUACACGCUAAACCACCACGUGAGGGUGAACUCAGCCAACACCAAGGAACGGUUAUGCUUUUAAACAUAAAAAUGUGUUUUAUGCGUAUAUGAACUUUUCUUUAACAGCCUUGGCGAACUCGGUUGGAUGCCCCGGCCAAGGUAUCCCCAAGAAUAAGUUUUGGCAUGAGUCAAAUUUUUAAGAAAUUUAUAAGCUUAUUUAUUUUGCUUUUAUACUACAAAAAUUAUUUACGGAUAUCUCUAUAAAUAUUGUUUCAUAAGAAAAUGAACUAUUUUAUUUAAUAUUUUUAUUUUAUUGUAAUAGCUAUCAUUUCACUUUAAAUGAAUGUUUUAGACAUCUAAACUUAU